Molecule: unclassified non-coding RNA, 364 nt
Filed under: uncultured bacterium
Lineage: Bacteria
Description: contains 16S-23S intergenic spacer region
Source: RNAcentral
UCCUGGUUGGCCCAGGCGGUCUCGUGUGAAAAAUACAACACACGACAAGGGUUGCGCUCGUUGCGGGACUUAACCCAACAUCUCACGACACGAGCUGACGACGGCCAUGCAGCACCUGUCACCGGGUUCCCGAAGGCACAGCAGCCUUUCGGCCGCUUUCCCGGGAUGUCAAGCCUCGGUAAGGUUCUUCGCGUAGCUUCGGAUUAAACCACAUGAUCCACUGCUUGUGCGGGUCCCCGUCAAUUCCUUUGAGUUUUAAGCUUGCGCUCGUACUCCCCAGGCGGCACACUUAUCGCGUUAGCUUCGCAACACAGAGGGUCGAUACUCCAUAUUGCUAGUGUGCAUCGUUUACGGCGUGGACUAC